AGAUGUGAGGGUGGUCUGGCUGUGACAUCUGUCACCCUAUUGAUCUCCAGGGUUGAUUUACUGAUCUGGCUGGCUAGGUGGGUGUCCCCUCCCCCCUCACCAAUCCAUGUGCGUCCCUCCCGAAGCUGCGCGCUCGGUCGAAGAGGACGACCUUCCCCCCCGAGGAGAGGACCGGUCUUUGGUCAAGGGUAUACGAGUAGCUGCGCUCCCCUGCUAGAACCUCCAAACAAGCUCAAAAUAAGAAUUAGCACCUCCACUUUAUGUAUGAGGACCCCCUUCGGCACCGGGAAAGGAGAGACCAGGGUUCUAGUUCUGGUUCUGCCAUC
RNAcentral lists this small nuclear RNA (326 nucleotides) under Myotis davidii. RNAcentral's name for it is "7SK RNA". It matches the Rfam family "7SK RNA". Rfam says of the family: 7SK was discovered as an abundant small nuclear RNA in the mid-70s but a possible function has only recently been suggested. Lineage: Eukaryota; Metazoa; Chordata; Mammalia; Chiroptera; Vespertilionidae. The record is from Rfam by way of RNAcentral.